GAUGAACGCUGGCGGCGUGCCUAAUACAUGCAAGUAGAACGCUGAAGGAAGGAGCUUGCUCUUUCCGGAUGAGUUGCGAACGGGUGAGUAACGCGUAGGUAACCUGCCUGGUAGCGGGGGAUAACUAUUGGAAACGAUAGCUAAUACCGCAUAACAGUAGAUGUUGCAUGAUAUCUACUUAAAAGGUGCAAUUGCACCACUACCAGAUGGACCUGCGUUGUAUUAGCUAGUUGGUGAGGUAACGGCUCACCAAGGCGACGAUACAUAGCCGACCUGAGAGGGUGGUCGGCCAAACUGGGACUGGGACACGGCCCAGACUCCUACGGGGGGGAGCAGGAGGGAAUCUUCGGCAAUGGACGGAAGGCUGACCGAGCAACGCCGCGGGAGGGAAGAAGGGUGUCGGAUCGGAAAGAUCCGUUGUAAGGGAAGAACGAGUGUGAGAGUGGAAAGUUCACACUGUGACGGUAUCUUACCAGAAAGGGACGGCUAACUACGUG
Molecule: ribosomal RNA, 497 nt
Filed under: uncultured bacterium
Lineage: Bacteria
Description: partial 16S ribosomal RNA
Rfam family: Bacterial small subunit ribosomal RNA
Source: RNAcentral